GACACAUUCUUCUCUUUCUAGGUGAACUCCUCAUAGAACAGGAGUGGGAAGUUUAAAAGAAAUUAGUUUGCCACUAAUGAACUUCAGUACUGAUGUCUGGAACAACAGAGAGACCUGCUUUAUAACACCAACAGUCACAUCUUCCUACCCCCUGAAGGCUAGAAGCUGCACCAGAGGAAAGGCUCCCUCCAGAAGAAAGAAACGAGAGAGGAAAAAACUGCUGCCUCCUUUCUGGGGAUUGAAAUGGAGCCAUGGUGGUCCUAUGGUCUGACCGGAGAAAGCCUACAGUACAGCCAGUAUUUUACCAUCCCAGAAGCUGAAGUGAGUUCAGAGGAUAGAUAUUGCUUCCUUCUGCCAACAGUUGUGCUGCAAAGAGGGCUGUCCCUGUGCUUAUCCUGACAGAAACAUCAAAUUGAGAGAGUUUGGAGAAGCUGAAAUUUUUAUGGUUGUGAAGCAUUCUGGUAUCCAUGCCCUCAUUCUGUUUAAAUCAGGACACUCCAACUCUAGCCUCUUUGCUAACAGACCAUAGCUUUCUCAUCCCCAAGCUCUGUAUCUUGCAGAGCCACUCGAGGCCUUUCUCAAAACAAAUCUUGCUCAGGGAUUAGGCCCUGAGAUCCAGUUGAGCACAGUUCAUUUUCUUUUAAAUGCAUUCAGUGGAUAUUCCAAAGCAGUUUUUGAUGGUAGACAUCUGUGCUGCUCACACACACCCAGGACAGCUCAGAGCAGGAUUGUCUGUGCUCAGAACUGAUGGUUGGUAGCAACUCUCAAAGCCCUGAACACUGCAUAGCAGCAGAAGCUGUCACUGCCAGAACUUUCUUCACUGCAGGGAGCUCUGUAAGUAACAUUCAGCCUAAUUUAGAAGAAAAAUGAGUUGAAUUUGCAGCAAGAGUGACUUUUCUAUAGUAGCCAAUGAAGUGGUGCUCCAGGCAGUGCUAAGAUCUCACCUGGGGCUGUGUGCAGUGACUGUGGGGACUGGGAUGGAAAUUGUUGGACAUAAAGGACAGGCUCAGAGUUGGUGAUGGAAACACAGCACAGUGGAUCACUUGCCAGGAAAUCAAGUGUUGCUUUAUCCCUCUGGAGUCAGGACUGGCUUCUUUUCUGAUAUAUUUACUAAUUUAUUUAGCUUUCCUAAUUCAUUUAUUGCCAGGUACAGAACAGUCCUUGUCUAAAAGUUCUUGUGUUUAAAGUGUCUUUAGGUUUCUCCACUGUUUUAUGCCUUCAUAACAGGUGCUUUCUAUUGCCCUCCCUGUAAGCCACUGUGGGACCUGUGA
RNAcentral lists this long non-coding RNA (1271 nucleotides) under Coturnix japonica (Japanese quail). RNAcentral's name for it is "lncRNA (ENSCJPG00005020854.1)". Lineage: Eukaryota; Metazoa; Chordata; Aves; Galliformes; Phasianidae. The record is from RNAcentral.